GCCUCCUGGGAUACACUGACGCUAUGCACGAAAGCGUGGGGAGCAAACAGGGAAAUUCCCUGGUAGUCCACGCCCUAAACGAUGUCAACUAGAGUUGGGGCCUUCGGGCCUUGGUAGCGCAGCUAACGCGUGAAGUUGACCGCCUGGGGAGUACGGUCGCAAGAUUAAAACUCAAAGGAAUUGACGGGGACCCGCACAAGCGGUGGAUGAUGUGGAUUAAUUCGAUGCAACGCGAAAAACCUUACCUACCCUUGACAUGUCUGGAAUCCUGAAGAGAUUUAGGAGUGCUCGCAAGAGAACCGGAACACAGGUGCUGCAUGGCUGUCGUCAGCUCGUGUCGUGAGAUGUUGGGUUAAGUCCCGCAACGAGCGCAACCCUUGUCAUUAGUUGCUACGAAAGGGCACUCUAAUGAGACUGCCGGUGACAAACCGGAGGAAGGUGGGGAUGACGUCAAGUCCUCAUGGCCCUUAUGGGUAGGGCUUCACACGUCAUACAAUGGUCGGGACAGAGGGUCGCCAACCCGCGAGGGGGAGCCAAUCCCAGAAACCCGAUCGUAGUCCGGAUCGCAGUCUGCAACUCGACUGCGUGAAGUCGGAAUCGCUAGUAAUCGCGGAUCAGCAUGUCGCGGUGAAUACGUUCCCGGGUCUUGUACACACCGCCCGUCACACCAUGGGAGUGGGUUUUACCAGAAGUAGUUAGCCUAACCGCAAGGGGGGCGAUUAC
Molecule: ribosomal RNA, 723 nt
Filed under: Alcaligenes sp. T11
Lineage: Bacteria; Pseudomonadati; Pseudomonadota; Betaproteobacteria; Burkholderiales; Alcaligenaceae
Description: bacterial SSU rRNA
Rfam family: Bacterial small subunit ribosomal RNA
Source: RNAcentral